Molecule: RNA transcript, 1247 nt
Organism: Eucalyptus grandis
Lineage: Eukaryota; Viridiplantae; Streptophyta; Magnoliopsida; Myrtales; Myrtaceae
Gene name: E3 ubiquitin-protein ligase AIRP2
Exons: 5
Source: RefSeq, a predicted model, not a curated record
CCCCCCACUCCACGACGGGGAAGGUCGCUGCCAAAAUCUAAAUUCCCUCCGUUCCUACGUGUCCUCUUCUCCUUCCUCUCGCCACGCUCCACCGCCUUCCUCCUCCUCGAUAUCCCCGCCGUCGUCGGCGGCGGCGGCCGGCCUUCGUCCGAUUAGGGUUUCCGGCGGCGGGCUCCGACGAGGGUUCUUUCUCCCCCCCUCGCUUUCGUCGCCGGCGGCGUUCGAUGGUGCUCGUCGGGUGAAGGGGUCGUCGGGAAGGUCUUUUUUUCGGGAAGAAGGUGAUGUACAUGGCGUCGAUGCGCAAGUCGUUCAAGGACUCCCUCAAGGUGCUGGAAGCCGACAUCCAGCACGCGAACACGCUGGCUUCAGAUUUUCCGGGGGAUUAUGAUGGUGCCUGUCUCCAAAUGAGAUUGUCGUAUAGUUCGGCUGCGCACCUGUUCCUCUUUCUGGUGCAAUGGACAGAUUGCUACCUUGCCGGUGCCCUUGGGUUCUUGAGAAUUCUUAUUUACAAGGUUCAUGUGGAUGGCACGACAACCAUGUCUAUGCAUGAGAGAAAAGCAAGUAUCAGAGAGUUCUAUGCUGUAAUUUAUCCCUCUCUGAUGCAACUUCAGAGAGGCAUUUCAGAUGCCGAAGAGAUAAUACAGAGGAAGUAUGCCUGGGGAGAUACUGCAGGAGAGAGGAAGAGGAACAUGCACUGCGCUCAGAUGUAGAUGCUGAAAGGGAAGAUGAAUGUGGAAUAUGCAUGGAGCUGAAUAGCAAAAUGGUACUGCCAAACUGCAACCAUGCUAUGUGCCUGAAAUGCUACCAUGAUUGGAGAAUGAUAUCCCAGUCAUGCCCUUUCUGUCGCGACAGUUUGAAGAGAGUGGACUCUGGUGAUCUCUGGGUACUUACUGACACCAGGGACAUAGUAGACAUGCAGACAGUAACCAGGGAGAAUCUUAGGAGGCUCUUCAUAUACAUAGAAAAGUUGCCACUGAUAAUCCCCGAGGCCCUUUUUGACACCUAUGAUUCUCACCUCAGGUGAAUGGCUCAACUUGAGCUAGUUCUUUGCACAGUUUUCUUUUAAUUUCUCCCCUUAAUAACCAAUUCCUGGUUGGUUUUCUUUUAUCCUUCUAAUGAAGCCAGCCUAAGUUAAUGUGGGCUGUAUGGCCUUAAGUUCAUUGCAAUUCUAUGUAUAAACUCAUUGCAAGAUGAACUCAACACUUGUGUAUAUAUGUUUGUAUAUAUUUGAACUUCCUUGAAAGUUA